AGAGUUUGAUCCUGGCUCAGGAUGAACGCUGGCGGCGUGCCUAAUACAUGCAAGUCGAACGCACUGUGGUUCAACUGAUUUGAAGAGCUUGCUCUGAUAUGACGAUGAACAUUGCAGUGAGUGGCGAACGGGUGAGUAACACGUGGGAAACCUACCUCUUAGCGGGGGAUAACAUCUGGAAACAGAUGCUAAUACCGCAUAACACUAGCAACCGCAUGGUUGCUACUUGAAAGAUGGUUCUGCUAUCACUAAGAGAUGGUCCCGCGGCGCAUUAGUUAGUUGGUGAGGUAAUGGCUCACCAAGACGAUGAUGCGUAGCCGAGUUGAGAGACUGAUCGGCCACAAUGGGACUGAGACACGGCCCAUACUCCUACGGGAGGCAGCAGUAGGGAAUCUUCCACAAUGGACGAAAGUCUGAUGGAGCAACGCCGCGUGUGUGAUGAAGGGUUUCGGCUCGUAAAACACUGUUGUAAGAGAAGAAUAGCAUCAAGAGUAACUGCUUGGUGUGUGACGGUAUCUUACCAGAAAGGAACGGCUAAAUACGUGCCAGCAGCCGCGGUAAUACGUAUGUUCCAAGCGUUAUCCGGAUUUAUUGGGCGUAAAGCGAGCGCAGACGGUUUUUUAAGUCCGAAGUGAAAGCCCACAGCUUAACUGUGGAAGUGCUUUGGAAACUGGAUGACUUGAGUGCAGUAGAGGAGGGUGGAAUUCCAUGUGUAGCGGUGAAUGCGUAGAUAUAUGGAG
This 740-nucleotide ribosomal RNA is filed under the name uncultured bacterium. Its description in RNAcentral is "bacterial SSU rRNA". It matches the Rfam family "Bacterial small subunit ribosomal RNA", at positions 8 to 703 of the family's 1533-position model. The record is from RNAcentral.